RNAcentral lists this ribosomal RNA (268 nucleotides) under uncultured bacterium. RNAcentral describes it as "partial 16S ribosomal RNA". It matches the Rfam family "Bacterial small subunit ribosomal RNA", at positions 1234 to 1500 of the family's 1533-position model. The record is from RNAcentral.
CGGCGCACAGAGGGAGGCGAGGCGGCGACGCCGAGCGAAGCCCGGAAAGCGCGCCCCAGUUCGGAUUGCAGCCUGCAACUCGGCUGCAUGAAGCCGGAAUCGCUAGUAAUCGCGGAUCAGAACGCCGCGGUGAAUACGUUCCCGGGUCUCGUACACACCGCCCGUCACACCAUGGGAGUCGGGAACGCCCGAAGUCGGCGACCCAACCGCAAGGAGGGAGCCGCCGAAGGCGGGCCCGGCGACUGGGGUGAAGUCGUAACAAGGUAUC